RNAcentral lists this ribosomal RNA (414 nucleotides) under uncultured eukaryote. RNAcentral describes it as "eukaryotic LSU rRNA". It matches the Rfam family "Eukaryotic large subunit ribosomal RNA", at positions 973 to 1383 of the family's 3401-position model. The record is from RNAcentral.
UCAGGAUAGCUGGAACUUAAGAAAAAGUAGUUUUAUCAGGUAAAGCGAAUGAUUAGAGGCUUUGGGGAAGAAACUUCCUCGACCUAUUCUCAAACUUUAAAUAGGUAAGAUUUGAAGGAUACUUAAGUGAUCUCUCAAUACAUUGAAUAUAAAGUUCUUAGUGGGCCUAUUUUUGGUAAGCAGAACUGGCGAUGUGGGAUGAACCGAACGUUAAGUUAAAGUGCCAAAUAAUACGCUCAUGAGAUACCAUAAAAGGUGUUGGUUCAUUUUGACAGCAGGACGGUGGCCAUGGAAGUCGGAACCCGCUAAGGAGUGUGUAACAACUCACCUGCCGAAUGAACUAGCCCUGAAAAUGGAUGGCGCUUAAGCGUAUAACUUAUACUUAACCCUUACUUGAAUUAUUAUAACGAGUAA